GACGUAGGGCGCGAGCGUUGUCCGGAUUUAUUGGGCGUAAAGAGCUCGUAGGCGGCUUGUCGCGUCGGGAGUGAAAUCCACUGGCUUAACUGGUGGCUUGCUUUCGAUACGGGCAGACUGGAGGCAUGCAGGGGAGAACGGAAUUCCUGGUGUAGCGGUGAAAUGCGUAGAUAUCAGGAGGAACACCCAUGGCGAAGGCAGCUCCCUGGCUCGACCUGACGCUGAGGCGCGAAAGCGUGGGGAGCGAACGGG
RNAcentral lists this ribosomal RNA (252 nucleotides) under uncultured bacterium. RNAcentral's name for it is "partial 16S ribosomal RNA". It matches the Rfam family "Bacterial small subunit ribosomal RNA", at positions 524 to 776 of the family's 1533-position model. The record is from RNAcentral.